Non-coding RNA from Hydra vulgaris (swiftwater hydra), 254 nucleotides. NCBI's taxonomy places the organism in Eukaryota, Metazoa, Cnidaria, Hydrozoa, Anthoathecata, Hydridae. The record is from RefSeq and is a predicted model, not a curated record.
CUAAAAAAUGUUAAUCGGAAAAAGCAAAAGUGGAUGGCGUGGUGCCAGUAAGAUGGUAUCGAUAUGAUCUAGUCUCAAUUAAGUUAGUCGCAGUGGGUUCAAAAAGAAGGGACCGCGCUGGAAACAUGAGUGGAUUAAAAGGAUCAGCCCUUUUUGAAUUAAUAGUUGAUGUGGUAACCAGCUAGAAGUCGUAACCUGCUCGAAUGAAAGGGUUUCUCGACGUGAAAUUGUUAUUUUUAUUCAGCAACGCCAAG